Triticum dicoccoides is the source of this 128-nucleotide long non-coding RNA. RefSeq lists it as uncharacterized. NCBI's taxonomy places the organism in Eukaryota, Viridiplantae, Streptophyta, Magnoliopsida, Poales, Poaceae. The record is from RefSeq and is a predicted model, not a curated record. The transcript is spliced from 3 exons.
CUGUAUGUAGAUGUUGUUGGAUUCAGACCAUAGUCGAAAGAUGGGGGCCUUUUGUGCUCUCAGGUUUGGCUAGAUUCCAAGUAUUUGGAUUUUUUGGGUCAAUGGUCUGGCUAGGUUCCAAAGAUGGC